This is a long non-coding RNA of Aphis gossypii (cotton aphid), 453 nucleotides long. RefSeq lists it as uncharacterized. NCBI's taxonomy places the organism in Eukaryota, Metazoa, Arthropoda, Insecta, Hemiptera, Aphididae. The record is from RefSeq and is a predicted model, not a curated record. The transcript is spliced from 4 exons.
GUCUGUACAUAGUUAAUUGACUCAUUUCGUAGGUACACGUAUGCGGUUGUUUACAUGUCAUUUACACACGGCCUUGAUCCAACAACCCUCUAAGUCGACGGAUUGGUUUUAUAAAAAAUCAAUUUUGGAUUUGCAAUUCGAAUAUUUCGGGCGAGAGCGAAAAAUACACACAGGCGCACCCUCGUCGGUGAUGGUGACGCCACUGAUGGCCUCAUAAUCGUUUUAUUCGCGGCGUCUUUGGUUUUCCGUUCUAAAUGUCCGCUCCGAUUGAACUCACCCCUAUCCUCUUCAAAGUCUUAUCCGGAUAAUUGUUUGUAAAUCGCCGAUGGAGCAAUUGAACUGAACAAAGCACCCUCGGGGAAAAAAACAUCUAGUGGACGUGCAAAUCGUUUUCAAUGCCACAGACGAUAUUUUAAACGAACGUGUGACAUUAUCUGAUAACCCCGGGGUGCC